CUUAAAACAGGAAGAGUCAUCUGGUUAUUCAGUGGGCCCAGUUUAAUCACAUGAACCUUUAAAUGUUGAAAACUUCCUCCAGUGGCACCACAAGGGAAAAUUAGGGAUCACAAUCAUGAGAAAGAUUCCUAGUCUUUUGCUCACUAUUCAAGGAUCAGAGGGAGAGAGGCCUUGAGGAGCAAGAGCACCCCCAGCUGACCCCUGCAAGGACCUGGGAAUCUUAGGCCUACGAGCUCAAAGGACAGGAUCUGCUCACACCCAAGGCCUGGAUGCAGGUUCUUCUGGAGCCCGAUAAGAGCCCAGUGGCCAACUCCUUGAUUUUGUCCUCAGAGUUCCAGGACAGAAAAAUUAGCAAGGGACCCAGACUCUUGGCCUACAGAACUGUAAGAUAAUAAGUUGGUGUUGUAUUACGCCACUAAAUCUAUGAUCAUUUGUUACAGCAACAAUAGAGAGAUAAUAAAGAGGCACUGGAUUAGGCAAAGAUUUCUUAGAUAAGAUAAAAAGCAUGAACAACAUGAGGGGGAACAGAUCAAAUAUAACUUCAUGAAAAUUAAAAACUCUGAAAUCUGGAAGAUACUUCUAGCAAAGACUUAAAACUAUUUACAAAACACAUAGCUGAUAAAGGACUUGAAUCCAGAAUAUAUUUUUUAAAAAAUCUUACAACUCAAAAAUUAAGAUGAAAAAAUCCUCAGGUUUUUUUAAAGUGGAGAGAGCAGAAAACUGGAGCAGACAUUCAAUCAAAGAAGAUAUACAAAUGGCAAAUUAAGCACAGAAAGGAUGCUCAACCUCACAGACAUUGGGGAAAUGCAAAUUAAAGGCCCAUGAGAUACCAUUACAUAUCUAUUUGCAUAACUAAAAUUAGCAAGACCGACAAUUCUAAGAGCAGGGAUCAAACUCGGAACCUUGCGCUUGUGAGGCAGGUGGUGGAACCACUGAGCUAAAUCUAGACCUCCUUGGCUCUGAUUACCCUUCUUGGUGGAAAGGAGCCCUUUUCAGAAAGAUUGGGAAUGGCACCCCCCCCCCCCAAUGCCUGCUGCAGCCCAGCUGCGCAGGAACUUCCAGAAUGAGAUCCAAGAACACCCAGGCUUGAGACUCCACGGAUCCUGCUGCUCAAGCAGCUGCCAGAACCACAUGGAAGAACUCACGGUCCAGUUGUUACGUUUAUUUUGCCAGCUGUGUGGGGUGGAAUAAGUGCAAGAGAGAGCUAAUGACUCCGAACUGCUAACCAUCGGUAGUCUUCCAAAGGCUUCUGCAGACAGUUGUUUCUUUUAGGCUACCAUAUUUUAUUGUGUCUAAAACAUCACAGAUUGUAUAUGAGGAAACACUGUAAGUUAAACUACGACACUUUUUCUUACUUUUUCUUUCUCUUCUUUCUUUUUCUUUCUCUCCUUCCGUCUUUCCUCCCCCCCCCCCUUGAUUGAAUCCAGGGCCUUCAUAAGUUGCAUUCUGUUUACCUUCUUUCUUUCUUUCUUUUUUUUUUUUUUUUUAACAAAAUCUUACUAAGUCAC
Molecule: long non-coding RNA, 1508 nt
Filed under: Heterocephalus glaber (naked mole-rat)
Lineage: Eukaryota; Metazoa; Chordata; Mammalia; Rodentia; Bathyergidae
Description: lncRNA (ENSHGLG00100040846.1)
Source: RNAcentral